Molecule: RNA transcript, 6742 nt
Organism: Acanthochromis polyacanthus (spiny chromis)
Lineage: Eukaryota; Metazoa; Chordata; Actinopteri; Pomacentridae
Exons: 2
Source: RefSeq, a predicted model, not a curated record
UCAUUUUUACAUGUUGUUAAUCAUCCAGGCCACUAGAGGGCGUACAGUUCUGUAGCAGUGUUAGUUUCCGCCACUGGGUGGCAAGAGCAAGAGACCGCUUGCACAGUGUCAACAACAGCAGCAUGAGAUUGUGUCCUGCUCAAUCUGCAGCCGUCCACUCUUUUCCAGCCCUUUGAGUGGCAAUAUGUGUAAGUUUUGUUGUUAGAUGGGAUGUUUAGACACGGUAUACAUGACCAUUUGCAUAAUUUUGUGGAGAUUUAUCUGGGAGAUGCCAGAUGAUAGCUAAGCCUUUUCUUAGUCAAUGUAAUGUGUCUGCUAACCUACAGCUAGCGCUGUAUAGCACCUUUUGUGCACAUUGUCUUUCAUUUCUAGUUUCUAAUACACGUCUGUAUUUUCUGUCUUUUCAGUUUCACACUUUUUUGCAUUAAAUCCUUGCCCAAAACGACACCUGCCUGUUCCUUGGAGGAAAUUAUGCAAGAGAGAGUUUAGCUGGCUGUGAAUCUCAAUUAGGGCACAGGUCACAUUGGGUGCAACAGUACAGUGAAAACAUAGCACUCGGCGAGGGACCACAGUGACGGUUGGUGGAAUUCAACCAAACUCCACAGUCAUCAGCAGUCCUACCCAGUCGUUAAGAUGGAUUCAACACAAUCUGAAAAUCGAAAGGAAGAAGAAACACAAUUUGACAAAAGGUCGUCCUCCUCUCACUCAUCCAAGUCCUCAGCGAAGUCGGGGAAACUGAGUGUUCGAUCAUCUGCAGGAUCAAAGAGGUCAACAGCUUCAAGUAAAGUCAGCAUGGCCGCAGCACAGGCACAAGCAGAGGCUCAAGCAGCAAAGGCAAGGCUUGCUUAUGCUGAAAGAGAGAUGAACAUCAAAGUUGAAAAGGCACGUUUAGAGGCGAGUUUGGAUGUUCUCAACCUGCAAAAAGAAGCAGAUGCAGCCAUUGCUAAAGCAGAGGUAAUGGAGUCUGCUGCAGCUCAGCUCAUCAUCACAGAGCACAGCGAAGAGUUAAUCUAUUUGCCUCUACAACAAACUACAGAACAAAAAGUAAGUGAAUACAUCAACAAACACAGUAGCACUAAUCCACCUCAAACCAGAGAGACCUUUCAACAGGAUGAUACAAAUCAGGAACAACAUUCAACAUUAAUUUACACACCUCUCCGUGCCAAACAAGAACCAGUUUAUUACUCACCUCAGCCACAAGAGGGCGCCAAAAGACCAGCACAAACAGAUGUAAUGCACCAAGCUUCUCUCAAUGUGUCUCAUCCACAGCAAACAAUGUCAAAUGACGCUAACAACACAACCAAUGAACUUGCCAGAUUUCUAGCUAGAAGUCAACUGGUAACAGGAGGACUGACAAAGUUUGAUGACAAGCCAGAGACCUACCUAAGCUGGAAAGCCACAUUCCAGAGUACCAUCAUAGAUCUUGGUCUUACAGCCAGUGAAGAACUAAACCUCCUCAUUAGGUGGCUUGGUCCAGAGUCCACAGAACAUGCCAAGAGAUUAAAAGCAGUUAAUAUCAAACAUCCGCACGCUGGUUUACACAUGAUAUGGAUGAGGCUGGACGAAUGCUUUGGAUCACCAGAAGCAAUUGAAAACUCCCUGUUCUCAAGAAUCCAAAACUUUCCAAAACUUACAAGCAAAGAACCACACAAGCUUCGCGAUCUGUCAGAUCUACUUUGUGAACUUGAAGCAGCAAAGCAAGAUGGAUAUCUGCCAGGUUUGAGUUACCUCGACACUGCGAGGGGAGUAGGUCCAAUUGUGGAAAAGUUGCCCUUUCAUCUGCAAGAGAAGUGGACAAUGAUAGGGUCAAAGUAUAAAGCAGACCAUCAUGUGAGCUUUCCACCUUUCGCCUUCUUUGUUGAAUUUGUGAAAGGACAAGCCAAGGCAAGAAAUGACCCAAGCUUCACCACAAGUUACAGCUCUCUUGCAAAUCCUACAACUAACUACAAAAGAGGAAAAACACAAGGUAACUACACACAAAAACAGUCAGUCACAGUGCACAAAACAGACAUAUCAGUGGGAGCAAAUACAAAGGAAGAGUGCGAAGACAUUAAAAGACAAUGUCCCAUACAUCACAAACCACACCCACUGAAAAGAUGCAGGGGUUUCAGAACUAUGUUGCUUGAGGACAGGAGAAAGGUACUCAAAGACAACAACCUCUGCUAUCGAUGCCUUUCUUCCACUACCCACCAAGCCAAGAACUGCAAAGCUAUCGUAAAGUGUGAUGAAUGUAACAGCGACAAGCAUUUGGCUGCUCUCCACCCAGGUCCAGCACCGCAAACAUCUAAGAUUCCCUCAUCUCCUAAAGAGAACGGCGGGGAGCAAGAACUCACACAGGACUUAGAUGUUACAGCUACAUGUACAGAGGUAUGUGGAAAUCAAAUCACUGGAAAGUCAUGCUCCAAGAUUUGUUUGGUGCAAGUCUACCCAAAAGGUGAGCCACACAACAUGAAAAAGAUGUAUGCAAUAAUAGACGAUCAGAGUAACCAAUCACUAGCCAAGACAGAGUUUUUUGAAGCAUUUGGAAUACAAGGCACAGCCACACCAUACACGCUGAAAACGUGUGCUGGCACGACACAAGUCACUGGUAGAAGAGCAUGCGACUACAUAGUGCAAUCACUGGAUGGAAAAAUGAACUUUCCUCUUCCAACGCUGAUAGAGUGCAAUGCUAUCCCCAACAAUCGGGAAGAAAUACCCACUGCAGAAGCUGCCUUGUAUCACCCGCAUCUGAAGGCCAUAGCUGCUGAAAUACCACCACUUGAACCAAACGCUGAUAUACUGUUGCUGAUUGGACGCAAUCUUCUCAGAGUACACAAGGUGAGAAAGCAAAUCAGUGGCAAGCACAGUGACCCAUUUGCCCAGAAGCUCGACUUAGGCUGGGUCAUCAUCGGUGAUGUGUGUUUAGGCACUGCUCACAAGCCAAGUGAGGUAAACACUCUCAAAACACAUGUGUUGGACAAUGGACGCCCAAGCUAUCUCACUCCCUGUGACAGUCGCUUUAAUGUGAAAGAGAGCUUUACAAUGAGCCAAACUAAACCUGCUUCCAACCCAGUUUCACUUUCAAACCCACACGCAAAGCCAACAUUUGAGAAUCUCGGAGAAGCUGUGUUUACUCGCACUACUGAGGACAAUCAGCUUGCACACUCAGUCGAAGACAUGAUCUUUCUGAAGAAGAUGGAAGGAUUUUUCAAAGAUGAAACAAAUAGCUGGGUAGCACCACUCCCGUUUCGUAGCCCCAGACGCUUACUCCCUGACAACAGGUGCUACGCCCAUAAGCGGCUCAUGUCUCUGCGACGUGCGCUUGACAAGAGACCAGACAUGAAGGCGCACUUUGUUGAGUUUAUGCAGAAGAUGCUUGACAACAAACAUGCAGAGUUGGCACCACCUUGCAAUGAAAACAAAGAGACCUGGUAUCUCCCCAUUUUCGGCGUAUACCACCCACAGAAGCCAGGGAAGAUCCGUGUGGUGUUUGAUUCCAGUGCGCAGUUUGAUGGAGUGUCUCUCAAUGACUGUCUAUUGUCAGGGCCUGAUCUAAAUAACACACUCAUAGGUGUCCUCCUUCGCUUUAGAAAAGAACCUGUUGCUAUCACAGCCGACAUCGAGCAGAUGUUUUACUGCUUUGUCGUCCAGGAAGAUCACAGGGAUUACCUUCGCUUCCUUUGGUACGAAGACAACGAUUUGGCCAAAGAUGUCGUGGACUAUCGCAUGCGGGUACAUGUCUUUGGUAAUAGUCCCUCACCAGCAGUGGCGAUCUAUGGGUUGAGGAUGGCAGCAAAGGAGGCAGAAGGUGAAUAUGGAACUGGUGCUCGAAACUUCAUAGAACAAGAUUUCUAUGUGGAUGAUGCGUUAAAGUCCUUCUCGACAGAAGCAGAGGCUGUUGACGUACUACAGAGAGCCCAGAAAAUGCUUGCUCUUUCUAAUCUACGUCUUCACAAGAUAGCCUCCAACAAAGUGGAAGUAGUGAAUGCUUUCCCACCUGAAGACAGGGCAAAAGAAAUCAAAGACCUUGAUCUGUCAACUGACAAGCCCCCAGUCCAGCGUAGUUUGGGUGUGAUUUGGGACACCACAUCAGACACUUUCACAUUUGAUGUUCCACAAGAGCAAAAGCCCUUUACACGACGUGGUGUGCUCUCAACUGUAAACAGCCUGUUCGAUCCUCUAGGGCUGCUUGCACCUGUAACUAUCAAAGGAAGACUUCUUCUCAGAGAGCUCUCCAGCAGCAAUCUUGAGUGGGACAGUCCGUUGCCUCAAGACAUGUACGACGAUUGGAGAAAAUGGCAUGACUCUCUGCAGCAUCUCAAAGCUCUGAGCAUUCCCCGUACGUAUGUUUCCUUCUCUAUCUCACAAGCCAACUUUAUCGAACUCUGUGUGUUCUCAGAUGCUUCAGUUAAAGCUAUAGCUGCAGUGGCUUACUUGAGAGUCACUCAUGAAGACAACCACAAUGAAGUCGGGUUUGUCAUGGGUAAGGCGAAACUAGCCCCCAUGCCAGAGCUCACCGUCCCGAGGUUAGAACUGUGUGCUGCAGUGCUAGCAGUGGAAAUGUCUGAGCUUCUCAGAGAGGAACUAAAGCUGAAAAUUGACAAGACCUCAUUUUACACUGACAGCAAAGUGGUGUUAGGAUACAUCCACAACCAACACCGACGAUUCCAUGUGUAUGUGAACAAUCGUGUCCAGAGAAUCAAGCAAUCGUCUCUGCCAGAUCAGUGGAAGUAUGUCCCGACAGAGCACAAUCCUGCUGAUCAUGGAUCUCGCUCACUGCCAGCAGAGAAGAUCUCCAGCACCACAUGGUGGUCUGGUCCAGCCAUUCUCUUUGACAAAACCACUGUCACUCCUGAAAAAGGCCCAUUCAAGCUCAUUGAUCCAGAGUCAGAUGUUGAAAUUCGACAGAAUGUAACAACUCUUGUGACUGGCACAAACCACAAAGCCUUGGGUUCAUCACGUUUUGAACGUUUCUCAAAGUGGACCUCAAUAGUCAGAGCAGUAACUUACCUAUGUCAUAUUGCUCACAGUUUCAAGUCCAGAGACAAACGAGAAUGUAAACGCUGGCAUCUUUGCAAAUCAAGCCUCACAGAAGAAGCUGUGACAAAAGCAGAGCACACAAUCAUCAAAUGUGUUCAACAUGAAGUGUACGCAGAAGAAAUUAAGUGCAUCAAGACAAAACAAGACAUACCACGAAACAGUUCACUUUACAAGCUCAAUCCGAUCAUUGACCAUGAAGAUCUACUUCGAGUAGGUGGACGUCUGUCAGAGUCAAAGCUACAGAGUCACGAAAUCCAUCCUCUGCUGAUCCCAGGAAAGCAUCACAUUGCUACACUGCUCAUUCGACAUCACCACAACGCUGUUAAGCAUCAAGGAAGACACUUCACUGAGGGAGCUGUGAGAGCAAGUGGCGUGUGGUUAGUGGGUGCCAAAAGAUCUAUCAGCAGUGUCAUCCACAAAUGUGUGAUCUGUAGAAAGCUACGAGGCAAGACAGAGCAACAAAUCAUGGCAGACCUGCCCGCCGAACGUUUACAAACCGAUCCCCCAUUUUCCUAUGUUGGCCUGGAUGUAUUCGGACCGUGGGAGGUUACAACACGACGCACUAAAGGUGGUCAAGCCAACAGCAAAAGAUGGGCAGUGAUAUUCACUUGUAUGUCUACAAGAGCCAUUCAUAUUGAAGUGAUUGAAACACUCAGCUCAUCAAGUUUCAUAAAUGCUCUUCGUAGAUUUUUUGCACUCAGAGGUCCUGCUAAACAGCUAAGAUCCGACUGCGGAACCAACUUUGUUGGUGCAUCGAAAGAGUUGAAGUUGGAUCCUCCAAAGCCCAAUGAGACAAGUGUGGAAGACUACUUAUGCGAACAGAGGUGCUCCUGGGUUUUCAACCCUCCUCACUCAUCCCACAUGGGAGGCACAUGGGAGCGUAUGAUCGGGAUAGCACGACGCAUACUGGACUCAAUGCUCUUGCAAUCAGGAAACCCCAAGUUAACCCAUGAGGUCCUCACAACACUGUUGGCUGAAGUCACGGCCAUUAUCAAUGCAAGGCCCUUGGUACCAGUCUCUUCUGAUCCUGAAGCUCCUUUAAUCUUGACUCCUAUGACGCUUCUCACACAAAAGACUAAUGCAAUCCCGAUUCCAUCAGGGGAUUUCAACAAAGCUGACAUGUUCAAACAUCAGUGGAAGAGAGUUCAAGUUCUUGCUGACACUUUUUGGGCCCGCUGGCAAAAAGAGUACCUGAACAUGCUCCAAAGUCGUCAGAAGUGGCAGCGCAACAGACCGAAUCUAAAAGAAGGUGACAUCAUUCUUCUCAAGGACAAACAACUAAAACGGAACGAAUGGCCAAUGGGAAUCAUUGUCAAGACUCUCCCGAGCAAAGAUGGAGUCGUAAGGAAGCUGGAGGUCAAGGUGUCAGGGGAGAAGACUUCAAAGACUUUUUCUAGACCUAUUUCGGACUGUAUACUUAUUUUAUCUACAGUUUAGUGUUUGUAGACACUAUUUAGUGGCAUUCUUAAAAUAAUGCCAGGCGGGGAGUGUGUUGUAUCAUUUUUACAUGUUGUUAAUCAUCCAGGCCACUAGAGGGCGUACAGUUCUGUAGCAGUGUUAGUUUCCGCCACUGGGUGGCAAGAGCAAGAGACCGCUUGCACAGUGUCAACAACAGCAGCAUGAGAUUGUGUCCUGCUCAAUCUGCAGCCGUCCACUCUUUUCCAGCCCUUUGAGUGGCAAUAUGUUUUCACACUUUUUUGCAUUAAAUCCUUGCCCAAAACGA